GGACGGCAUUCUAUAAAUAAACAGACUUUUCUACUAACUUGUGUUGCUUUUUGCUGAAGAGGUUAAAGAGCUUCACUACGUCCAUCAGUUGAUACCAGAAUCAAGAAGAUAAUCAUGAGAAACGUGAGGAAUGAAGAAUUUGGAAGAAAGUCGUUGAUUAUGGAGUGGAACUCACAGAUUUAGAUAAGUGAGCAGUAGAUUGGAGACAAGGAAUAUUAUAAUGUUUCUGACAGAGAAGAUAAGGAGAUCAAAUGGGAGACGAGAAUUCAAUAUUAGAAAGGACAAGGGCGCAAUAGAAGAA
Molecule: long non-coding RNA, 301 nt
Organism: Cimex lectularius (bed bug)
Lineage: Eukaryota; Metazoa; Arthropoda; Insecta; Hemiptera; Cimicidae
Exons: 4
Source: RefSeq, a predicted model, not a curated record